AAAUUGAAGAGUUUGAUCAUGGCUCAGAUUGAACGCUGGCGGCAGGCCUAACACAUGCAAGUCGAACGGUAACAGGAAGCAGCUUGCUGCUUCGCUGACGAGUGGCGGACGGGUGAGUAAUGUCUGGGAAACUGCCUGAUGGAGGGGGAUAACUACUGGAAACGGUGGCUAAUACCGCAUAACGUCGCAAGACCAAAGAGGGGGACCUUCGGGCCUCUUGCCAUCAGAUGUGCCCAGAUGGGAUUAGCUUGUUGGUGAGGUAACGGCUCACCAAGGC
This 277-nucleotide ribosomal RNA is filed under the name Salmonella enterica subsp. enterica serovar Infantis. Its description in RNAcentral is "partial 16S ribosomal RNA". It matches the Rfam family "Bacterial small subunit ribosomal RNA", at positions 1 to 274 of the family's 1533-position model. Lineage: Bacteria; Pseudomonadati; Pseudomonadota; Gammaproteobacteria; Enterobacterales; Enterobacteriaceae. RNAcentral also lists the same sequence under 31 other names. The record is from RNAcentral.